This 404-nucleotide ribosomal RNA is filed under the name Fusobacteriota bacterium. Its description in RNAcentral is "Fusobacteria bacterium partial 16S ribosomal RNA". It matches the Rfam family "Bacterial small subunit ribosomal RNA", at positions 355 to 776 of the family's 1533-position model. The record is from RNAcentral. Lineage: Bacteria; Fusobacteriati; Fusobacteriota.
UGGGGAAUAUUGCACAAUGGAGGGAACUCUGAUGCAGCGACGCCGCGUGAGUGAUGAAGGAAUUCGUUUCGUAAAACUCUGUUCUAUGGGAAGAAAAGGACUGUACCAUAGGAGAAAGCUCCGGCUAAAUACGUGCCAGCAGCCGCGGUAAUACGUAUGGAGCGAGCGUUGUCCGGAAUUAUUGGGCGUAAAGGGUGCGCAGGCGGCUUUACAAGUUGGAUGUGAAAUAUUGUGGCUCAACCACAAACGUGCAUCCAAAACUGCAAAGCUUGAGUUAAGGAGAGGUAAGUGGAAUUCCUGGUGUAGCGGUUGAAUGCGUAGAUAUCAGGAGGAAUACCGGUGGCGAAGGCGACUUACUGGACUUAAACUGACGCUCAGGCACGAAAGCGUGGGGAGCAAACAGG